GAUGAACGCUAGCGGGAGGCUUAACACAUGCAAGUCGAGGGGCAGCAUAGGGUAGCAAUACUCUGAUGGCGACCGGCAAACGGGUGAGUAACGCGUAUGCAACCUACCCUGUACAGGGGGAUAACCCGGAGAAAUUCGGACUAAUAUCCCGUAAUAAUAUCCGGAGGCAUCUUUGGAUAUUUAAAGUUCCGACGGUACGGGAUGGGCAUGCGUAACAUUAGCUGGUUGGUAAGGUAACGGCUUACCAAGGCUAUGAUGUUUAGGGGUCCUGAGAGGGUGGUCCCCCACACUGGUACUGAGACACGGACCAGACUCCUACGGGAGGCAGCAGUGAGGAAUAUUGGUCAAUGGGCGCAAGCCUGAACCAGCCAUCCCGCGUGCAGGAAGACGGCCCUAUGGGUUGUAAACUGCUUUUCCAGGGAGAGAAACUUACGCACGUGUUGCGUGACUGACGGUACCCUGGGAAUAAGCAUCGGCUAACUCCGUUG
This 488-nucleotide ribosomal RNA is filed under the name uncultured bacterium. RNAcentral's name for it is "bacterial SSU rRNA". It matches the Rfam family "Bacterial small subunit ribosomal RNA", at positions 28 to 508 of the family's 1533-position model. The record is from RNAcentral.